This 73-nucleotide small RNA is filed under the name Oesophagostomum dentatum (nodular worm). RNAcentral's name for it is "Nematode sRNA ceN72-3_ceN74-2". It matches the Rfam family "Nematode sRNA ceN72-3_ceN74-2". Lineage: Eukaryota; Metazoa; Nematoda; Chromadorea; Rhabditida; Strongylidae. The record is from Rfam by way of RNAcentral.
GCUAUUGGUCCGGAGCUAGUGGGUUAUCUUUCAAACUGAAAACGCACCCCAUUGGCACAAACUUGACCGUUAG